Molecule: ribosomal RNA, 460 nt
Filed under: uncultured bacterium
Lineage: Bacteria
Description: partial 16S ribosomal RNA
Rfam family: Bacterial small subunit ribosomal RNA
Source: RNAcentral
ACUACGGGUGGCUGCAGUGAGGAAUAUUGGUCAAUGGGCGGAAGCCUGAACCAGCCAAGUCGCGUGAGGGAUUAAGGCCCUGCGGGUCGUAAACCUCUUUUGCCGGGGAGCAGAGGUCCGGACGUGUCCGGGCCGGGAGAGUACCCGGAGAAAAAGCAACGGCUAACUCCGUGCCAGCAGCCGCGGUAAUACGGAGGAUGCGAGCGUGAGCCGGAUUUAUUGGGUUUAAAGGGUGCGUAGGAGGGCAUUUAAGUCGCCGGUCAUAUGUCGGGGUUCAACCCCGGCCUGCUGUCGGAACUGGGUGCCUUGAGUGGGCGAGAAGUAUGCGGAAUGCGUGGUGUAGCGGUGAAAUGAAUAGAUAUCACGAAGAACCCCGAGUGCGAAGGCAGCAUACCGGCGCCCUACUGACGCUGAGGCACGAAAGUGCGGGUAUCGAACAGGAUUAGAUACCCUUGUAGUC